GGACCAAGGAGUCUAGCAUGUGCGCGAGUCAUUGGGACUCUGUUAAAACCUAAAGGCGUAAUGAAAGUGAAUAUAUGAUGUGUUUCCUUUUAUUAGGAAUCACUGAAUCAUUAAGGGAAGAUGGGUGACGAUAUUUAUGUUACCUCGCACUCCCGGGGCGUCGCGUACUUAUUGCAAGUUGCGGCGCACCAAGAGCGUACACGCUGGGACCC
This 212-nucleotide ribosomal RNA is filed under the name Pterostichus niger. RNAcentral describes it as "partial 28S ribosomal RNA". It matches the Rfam family "Eukaryotic large subunit ribosomal RNA", at positions 663 to 817 of the family's 3401-position model. Lineage: Eukaryota; Metazoa; Arthropoda; Insecta; Coleoptera; Carabidae. The record is from RNAcentral.